UAAAAGUGGUCACAUUUCUAAUCUUGUAGAAAAUAAAACAAGAAGCAUGUGUUGGUCGAUGCUAAAAAAUUGCCUCAAAUGUGGACGCAGAUUUGAUAACGUUCGUUUUUCAAACAUGCAAUACAUCAACUUCUUUGGCAAAUAAAGUUAGCUUUGCUUUCCCUCUCACGAGUUUCAUUUCACCCAUGAUCAUCUGAUAAAACCAAGCUCUUUCUUCACAUUCUCUC
Molecule: long non-coding RNA, 227 nt
Filed under: Capsella rubella
Lineage: Eukaryota; Viridiplantae; Streptophyta; Magnoliopsida; Brassicales; Brassicaceae
Description: long non-coding RNA (CRUB_LNC001287)
Source: RNAcentral